RNAcentral lists this ribosomal RNA (372 nucleotides) under uncultured organism. RNAcentral describes it as "bacterial SSU rRNA". It matches the Rfam family "Bacterial small subunit ribosomal RNA", at positions 526 to 896 of the family's 1533-position model. The record is from RNAcentral.
CGGGGGGGGCAAGCGUUGUUCGGAAUUACUGGGCGUAAAGGGCCAGUAGGCGGCCAACUAAGUCCGACGUGAAAUCCCCAGGCUCAACCUGGGAACUGCGUCGGAUACUGGAUGGCUUGAAUUCGGGAGAGGGAUGCAGAAUUCCAGGUGUAGCGGUGAAAUGCGUAGAUAUCUGGAGGAAUACCGGUGGCGAAGGCGGCAUCCUGGACCGACAUUGACGCUGAACGGCGAAAGCUAGGGGAGCAAACGGGAUUAGAUACCCCGGUAGUCCUAGCCCUAAACGAUGAAUGCUUGGUGUGGCGGGUAUCGAUCCCUGCCAUGCCGAAGCUAACGCAUUAAGCAUUCCGCCUGGGGAGUACGGUCGCAAGGCUG